CCUGCAUAUGCAUGUGACAGUAGAGAGUUGUUGCUGGUUCGCCUGGGGCGUAAAACCCACCUCCCGACAGCUGUCUAGCAUUUACAUUAUCGAUAUGGUGUCUUAUCCUGCAUAUGCAUAUGACAGUAGGGAGUUGUUGCUGGUUCGCCUGGGGCGUAAAACCCACCUCCCGAUAGCUGUCUUGUUGAUGAUUCAGCCUAUUGACACCUGAUUUAUAUGAUUCAGUACUAUGACCUGUUGAGCAUAUUCA
Molecule: long non-coding RNA, 250 nt
Filed under: Phoenix dactylifera (date palm)
Lineage: Eukaryota; Viridiplantae; Streptophyta; Magnoliopsida; Arecales; Arecaceae
Description: long non-coding RNA (PDAC_LNC009367)
Source: RNAcentral